This 300-nucleotide ribosomal RNA is filed under the name uncultured Gemmata sp. Its description in RNAcentral is "bacterial SSU rRNA". It matches the Rfam family "Bacterial small subunit ribosomal RNA", at positions 496 to 795 of the family's 1533-position model. Lineage: Bacteria; Pseudomonadati; Planctomycetota; Planctomycetia; Gemmatales; Gemmataceae. The record is from RNAcentral.
GACAUCUACGUGCAAUCAGUCGGUGUGAGUGCUAGUGUGUGAGUGUGGGUCGCAAUGAGUGGUCGUAUAGGGCUGGUAGUCGGUGUGUCGGGACGAGAGUGAAAACUUACAGCUGUAAUGAGAGCGUGCUGUAGAUACGGGCAGAAUUGAGGCAAUCAGGGGAGAACAGAAUUCCUGGGGUAGCGGUGAAAUGCGCAGAUAUCAGGAGGGACACCGGUGGCGAAGGCGGUACUCUGGGAAUGUGCUGACGCUGAGGAGCGAAAGUGUGGGGGGCGAACAGGAUUAGAUACCCCAGUAGUC